AUGCCUUCCUUUCUCAUUCUCCAGCCUGGGUCAGUAGCACAAUCCAGAGAGCCAGUAGGGGGUCUCUCCUGGUCCACGGAGGCAGAGGAGCUGUCUGAACGUGCAGAGCCGCCCCUGCCAACCUGGCCCAGUAUCAAGAGCUGCCCCUCACCCGGUGAUCUCUGCAAAUCACUGCUCACCCAGAAGGAAAACCAAUUUACAUUGGUCUCCAAAACAGCCCUAAGAGAUGAUUGCUCUUCCUAGAAAUUAGGAUCAAAGUUGAGGUCCACACCAGUGUGACCACGUGCCCUAUCCCUGCUGCCAGUCAUUAUGCCGCACUGUCUCUCCUGUAUCCUGUAUGAUCACUGUCGCCACCUCCACCUGAUAGGUUAGGGAAGAAGGUGAGUAAGUAUCCAUGAUAGGCCAGAUGCAGUGCUGAGUCCUGGGGAGAAGGCACAUUUCUCUAGGUCCUAGUUGUCAAGGUGUGUGUGUACAGCAGAGGGGAGGGGAGCUGGAGGAAGCGAAAUGCAUUUCCCAUAUGAUAUAAGACCAACUGGGAUGUCCCCUAAGAUGUGAAAGUAGGUUACUUUCACUGCAAGUGUUCAGGAGAUGUAAGGUUGGGACAUCUGAAGGGCAGCAUGAAACGAGUCAACUACUCUGCCCCAGCUACUCCUCCUUUCUUGUGGCUUGGCUGGAGAACUUCACCAGUCCAUACCCAGUCAAAUUAAGUUCUUUACUGUGUGAGCCAGGGGUCAGCUGGGCCUCUGCCCUAGAGGAUCUGGUCACAUUUGACUGGAAUUCUCAUUCCAUGGCCUUGGCAGAACUCAGAGUCCUUCCUGCAGUUUCUUUUCCUUAAUGCUUUCUUCCUUCAGCCUCCCUUCACCUCAGUGCCUGAAUGUCACCUUCCUGGUCCACGCCAUUAUUUUCAUGGAAGGUCAUUCUCAAGCCUGCUCUCAGUUUAGCAGCUUUCUCGGAGAAUCAUUCUCCAAGAUAGGACCCCCUCCUAGGAAUCCCCCUAGUCUUUGAUUAGAAAAGGCCCACCCUUUUUGCCAUUUUUCUCCCUCCUC
Molecule: long non-coding RNA, 1046 nt
Filed under: Callithrix jacchus (white-tufted-ear marmoset)
Lineage: Eukaryota; Metazoa; Chordata; Mammalia; Primates; Cebidae
Description: lncRNA (ENSCJAG00000083089.1)
Source: RNAcentral